CAGUUUGAGGGAGCAGGUGACGUCCGUCCUAUAAACCUAAUCUGGUGGAGUUUGGCCUCGUGCAUUUUCGAUGCCAGUAGGCUAUUAUAAUGUAAAAAGUGAACUUAAUAGCCGCGAGCGGGAAUAUAGCUUAACUCAUCAUAUAACUUAACUCGAGUGAGCCUAUUAUAAUGCGUACACUAUUUUAAAUGUGGCUUAAAUGUUUUCAGAUACUCGUAUUCGUGUUGUACUGUAAAAUUUGUUUACUUGUGCGAAAUUCCUUUAUAGCCUACGUUUGUCUGACAGCACGCCGGCUGUGGGUAACUUUCCCCGCGCCAGAGCUUUGUCCGCGUGGUAGACUUCAAGUUCGGGGGAGGAGGGUCACCGCUCGCGCCGCGGGAUCAUGAGAAAGGACUACAGGCGCCAUUGAGGACACCCUGUGUGCCCCGGAUGAAGUUUGCCUGAUUACUGAUUCAUUUCAAAUUCAGAUCAGACUCUGGUCUUCGAUUGAGGAAACUCUUUAAGGUUCCAGAAUGUUUAACAGCCGUAGAGGAUCAAUAACGGCUUUUUAUUUUAAUUGCCGCCGAGAUCUGGGAAGUGAAGUGAAGUUGAAGUGAACUUCAACUUUCCGGCUAAGAUCUCGCCUUGAGACAGUCGGUCUGUCACGUCGCGUUCGGUGGAGACACCGGGAAGUGCCAGUUGCUCGCCCUGCCAGCCAAGCAAACGAGGACUUAAUAGGGCCUACGAGAGUAAUGAGCAAGUGGAAACUGUCUCGCGGACACGGCCAAGCAUGCUGAGAGGCCGCCACGCGCCAAGGACCGGUGUGCACGAACAAGUCAAAGAUGGAGACAUUUUCACACUUUCACAUUGUGAAUACACUAUGGCGGAAAUAAAGGAGGCCCGUGAUCAAGCGAAUAAUCUCGAGGACAGAUGACGUAGCUACAGCGGUCCUUGGGUCACUGUUCAACAGGCCACAUUUUGACUAUUUCCCCAGAAGAAUGCAUUUUACAGGCAGCGAAAAAAUAUAAAGAAAACUUGAACCGAGAACAAAUAUAACGAACCGAUAUGUAGACUAUCGUACAUGAACGAUGAAGAAAUACACAGACCUUUAAAGACAAAAUCCACAAGCGUAACGGCAAGAUUGGCGAUAGCCAAUAGCUAAUAAAUUGUCAGAGAUU
This is a long non-coding RNA of Anguilla anguilla (European eel), 1157 nucleotides long. RefSeq lists it as uncharacterized. The transcript has 2 exons. Lineage: Eukaryota; Metazoa; Chordata; Actinopteri; Anguilliformes; Anguillidae. The record is from RefSeq and is a predicted model, not a curated record.